Molecule: long non-coding RNA, 2069 nt
Filed under: Mytilus galloprovincialis (Mediterranean mussel)
Lineage: Eukaryota; Metazoa; Mollusca; Bivalvia; Mytilida; Mytilidae
Source: RNAcentral
GCGCUGUUGGAAUGUUGCUACAUAGAAAUGGAAAGUUCAAAAUUGGGAAGCUGAAAUCAUCUCUUUUGUCGGAAAUUUUUUCAACCGACCCUCAUUGUCAAUUUCUAGAUGAAAGUUAAGAUAUGAGGCAGACUUAACUGUAUCUGUUAAUCCUUUAUAUCUAGUUUUGAGCAAUUAAGUUUCAGAUUUUCGAACAUAGCGCCACUAAAAUACUUACGCAAAAGAUGCGCCUGUUUCUCUUCUAUAUGACUUAUUAAAGUCAUACCCCAUGACAACCCUCAUUCGACCCCCCUAUUUUUUACCAUUUUUUUUUCAAAUUUUGGGCUCUAGUUUCAGAUUUUUGAACAUAGCGCCCUUCGAUACCUUGCGCAAAAGAAGCGCCUGUUUCUCCUCUACAAGACCUAUAUAUAGUCAUACCCCGUGACACCCCUCAUUAUUUUUCUCUAGGAGCCGUGGAAUAGGUCGACCCCCUAUUUUUGGACCAUUUUUUUCAAAUUUUGGGCUCUAGUUUCAGAUUUUUGAACAUAGCGCCCUUCGAUACCUUGCGCAAAAGAAGCGCCUGUUUCUCCUCUACAAGACCUAUAUAGUCAUACCCGUGACACCCCUCAUUAUUUUUCUCUAGGAGCCGUGGAAUAGGUCGACCCCCUAUUUUUGGACCAUUUUUUUUCAAAUUUUGGGCUCUAGUUUCAGAUUUUUGAACAUAGCUCCCUUCGAUACCUUGCGCAAAAGAAGCGCCUGUUUCUCCUCUACAAGACCUAUAUAGUCAUACCCCGUGACACCCCUCAUUAUUUUUCUCUAGGAGCCGUGGAAUAGGUCGACCCCCUAUUUUUGGACCAUUUUUUUCAAAUUUUGGGCUCUAGUUUCAGAUUUUUGAACAUAGCGCCCUUCGAUACCUUGCGCAAAAGAAGCGCCUGUUUCUCCUCUACAAGACCUAUAUAGUCAUACCCCGUGACACCCCUCAUUAUUUUUCUCUAGGAGCCGUGGAAUAGGUCGACCCCCCUAUUUUGGACCAUUUUUUUCAAAUUUUGGGCUCUAGUUUCAGAUUUUUGAACAUAGCGCCCUUCGAUACCUUGCGCAAAAGAAGCGCCUGUUUCUCCUCUACAAGACCUAUAUAGUCAUACCCCGUGACACCCCUCAUUAUUUUUCUCUAGGAGCCCUGGAAUAGGUCGACCCCCCUAUUUUUGGAUUUUUUUUUCAAAUUUUGGGCUCUAGUUUCAGAUUUUUGAACAUAGCAGCCUUCGAUACCUUGCGCAAAAGAAGCGCCUGUUUCUCCUCUACAAGACCUAUAUAGUCAUACCCCGUGACACCCCUCAUUAUUUUUCUCUAGGAGCCGUGGAAUAGGUCGACCCCCUAUUUUUGGACCAUUUUUUUCAAAUUUUGGGCUCUAGUUUCAGAUUUUUGAACAUAGCGCCCUUCGAUACCUUGCGCAAAAGAAGCGCCUGUUUCUCCUCUACAAGACCUAUAUAGUCAUACCCCGUGACACCCCUCAUUAUUUUUCUCUAGGAGCCGUGGAAUAGGUCGACCCCCCUAUUUUUGGAUUUUUUUUUUUCAAAUUUUGGGCUCUAGUUUCAGAUUUUUGAACAUAGCGCCCUUCGAUACCUUGCGCAAAAGAAGCGCCUGUUUCUCCUCUACAAGACCUAUAUAGUCAUACCCCGUGACACCCCUCAUUAUUUUUCUCUAGGAGCCGUGGAAUAGGUCGACCCCCCUAUUUUUGGACCAUUUUUUUCAAAUUUUGGGCUCUAGUUUCAGAUUUUUGAACAUAGCGCCCUUCGAUACCUUGCGCAAAAGAAGCGCCUGUUUCUCCUCUACAAGACCUAUAUAGUCAUACCCCGUGACACCCCUCAUUAUUUUUCUCUAGGAGCCCUGGAAUAGGGCAACCCCCAUUUCUUCAAAUGUGUAUGUUAGUUUAAUUAAACAAUGACAUCACAGGUGCGAUAUUUUACAGGGUAGGACUACUUUUACAUACGUUCUAAAUUGAUUUGGUACAUUGGUGGCCCUACACCUACAAAUAAUCCGUUGAUAGAUGCAGAUUUACUAUGGUACUGAAUAUUAGCCUUAAAAGAGAUGUG